Molecule: long non-coding RNA, 3513 nt
Organism: Sparus aurata (gilthead seabream)
Lineage: Eukaryota; Metazoa; Chordata; Actinopteri; Spariformes; Sparidae
Source: Ensembl
CUGGCCUCCUCCCUCCUCUCUCUCCUCACCUGUUCCUUGUCUUGUCAUUAGUGUUUGUGUAUUUAGUCUGUGUUUUCCCUGCACUCCUUGUCCGUUCAGUGCUUAUGUUGUUUGUACUCAUGUCACUGUCUACGUCUGCUCAUGUCCUGCCUGAUGUUCUCCCUGUGCCUCGUCUCCUGUUUGGUAUUGUUACCGGCUCAGGUAACAAAGAAACGGCCGAAGAGACUUUGCAUCCAAUUCACGUCUGUUGUUUUAAUUAAGUCAAACAAACAUAACGAUUUCAGAAUAAUCUCCACAUCAAACAGAACAAAAAAACAAAGCAAAGUUUCUGCCGCUCCUCUCAAAGGCCAGGCCCCUUUUAUGUCCUCGGCUGGGAGAUGCCCCGCGCGCUGGCACAUCCCCAUUCAGGAACACAGCGGAUCAGGCCUACAAGACGUGAGAACAGAGAUAAAUACAUUACAGAAAAACAUGGAUGAGAGGCCCAAGGGGCCGUAACAGGUAUGUUUUGGAUUUUUGCAUUUUGCAUUUUGAUUUGAACUUUGGUUUUGAUUUGUACUUUGCCCUUUUUCUUUGCACUUUGUUGAAUUGCUGUUUUGUUGCUACUUUGUCUUUCGUCCCCUUUUGUCUGAUUUUGGUACCUGGUUCAGCUUGAGAAUAAAGCUCGCUUUUUGUUUCCCACAUAUCCUAGUCCCGUGAAUAACUGCAUUUGGGUCCAACUCCUAUCCUUUUAGUUGUUUCCCCUUGAACCUCAGCAUGACAGUAACCCCGGCAAUUUCAUGCCUAAGUCGAUAAUUACAAAUGUAAAAAUGUGUUGGACAAGAAAAGGCGUAGUGGCCCACUCUGAGUUAUGACAAGCCACACUACACAUCGCUCUCCAAAUCGAUUAUUGAUGAUAUAGAAAUCUUGUUGAAAAACAAUCAAAUUCAAUAUACCCCCCUUGCAUUCGGCAAAUGCUUUGUCAAACUACGCUUCACGCCCAUGAAGCAGUUUUUCUAAUCACUAUUUAGAAAAUGACACACUCUGUUUAAUCGGGAUGAUGCUAGAUAUGUCAUACUAUAUAAACCAAGCAGGGGGAGAUUUACCAGGAUUUAUACGGUAACGGGUUUCACAGCCUUUUACAGGAUGGCGGUGCCUUUGUCAAAAAGUCGGUUCAGUCUGGUUUACCCCCAUUUAAGCAGCCACUACAAACAUAGUGGGGGAUGUAAAACAGUUAUGCAAAUCCUUCAAAACGAAGUCAGUCACCAAGAAUCGCAGAGCUCCAAGCCACAGUUCUAGGCUUUGUCUAGAGACAUAUUCUAGGCUAAAAGUCAGAGGUAGGUGACUCGAGUCACAUGUUUUGACACGAGUCGAACUCGAAUCGCAAAUUUGAGGACUUGAGACUUACUUGACAAACACUGAUGAAAGACUCGACUUGACUUUGACUUGGCAUUCAUAACUUGAGGCUUGACUUAGACUUGAAACAGAUGACUCGAAAGUCUUGGCUUUUCCUUCUUUCAUUUGUUUUGCGCAUAUUGAGAUGUUUUUAAUGCUUUUCCCUCUACCACUGUAUGACGCGGUGCGUCCAAGCCUGGCAGGUGGCUGGCAUGCCAGAGUGGCACUGUGGCGGACAGGAUCAGAGGAGGAGAGGCAGCAUGGAGGGAGCUCCGAAAAUCAUCAAAGUUGGAUUCAAAGAUUAUUUCAUGCCUGAGUGAUUUUGGCCGCCGUCUUGGUUAAAGUGUGUGUGUGUUUUUCAGAUAUAGCGUCUUCAGUGCGCUCAAAGCCAUUAUUUCAAAUGUAGGCCUGCGCUUUAUGCACGCUCACAACCCAACACGACACCGUAUCUGCACAUAUUCAGUGCGACACACUUGUUUUUUCGUGCACGUCCGCGACGGACCGUCUUCUCCCUUAGGUGUUGUGUCUGUGUCUCUCCUACUGUUUCUCACGGAGCUCUGGCCCAUUUGAAAGGAGAAAGGGCCCGUAUGUGUAAAGACGUCGCCUCCGAGAUGUUGAAUGUGUUUUAUAGAAGAGAAACACACAUUUCAGGACAGAACAGACAUGUCCUGUGACUUUCAGCCUCCUUUUAUAGCAGGAGAGGGGGAACAAUACCUUAGAGGAAUAUUCUCAGCUGUCAGGAUGUGCAGUAUGGUGCAGCUCCAGGGUUGAUAUUAAUCUAAUCUUAUUCUUGUAUUCAUGUGUUUGAAAACAUUUUUAAAAUUGAUCAGCUAUGCAAUUACAUCAUACUGUUGACUAACCACCCUCUUCAGUUUACUGUGUCUACUGAUAUGAAGAAUACAUCCAUACGAACUUCUUGUGACUUGCUUGACCUUAACCAUGACUCGACUUGACUUGCUUGAGUAAUAACAAUGACUUGACUUGACUUGACUUGCUUGAUUUUCAUCACAGUAACUUGGAACUUGCUUAAGACUUGAAGGUUAAGACUUGAAACUUGCUCAUGACUUGCACGUAUGUGACUUACUCCCACCUCUGCUAAAAAUAUAGAAAGAUAUCCAUGGCACUCAUUCAUUACCGGUCUGAAGAAUGUGUGAAGACCAAGUUGGAUUUACUGUUCCUUACACCCAGACAUCCAUUGAAAAAUCUACUUUUGUUGAAAUCCCUCCCGUUUUGGCAAUCACAGACACAGGUCCUCUUGAAUUUUUACAUGUCGGCAAGCGGGACCUAUACCUAAGUGAAUCAUACUUUUUUAUACGUGUGAGGAUUACAAAGAUGAUACAAACUUAGCUAACGCUGCCGUUGUGGGAUUUAUUAACUAUCCAGACAAAAAGGUACACCGUUCGGAGCCAUUUGUAUGAAUACCUUCACUGCCUGGUAGUGAUUGAGUCAAUACGUUUUUUCACGCUCAUACUGUUUUCGCCAAUGCCAAAUAUCGCUGUGGAAUACCUGAAUAUUUUUUUACCCUCUCAUAAAUGUCUGUGUCCGGUUAUUUUAGUACAUCUAUCAUGGCUUUAUGCAUUUCAUUUUGCGCUGUUUGCCUCGUGGAAUCAGUGUUCUGCUCAUGCUGUUGCUGUUCUUUUAAGCCAUCAAAUUGUUGUUGCAGGACCAAGAACAUUUUAUUUGUAUGUUCCAUUUCAACCCCUGUUAAAAAGAGUGGUUAUAAAUGGUAUAGCUGCUUCUAAUAGAGGUAAUAAAAUGCCUCCAGUCUGAUUGAUAGUCUUUUUCUUUUUUUUUUAUCAGCUGUUUGUACUGUUUAUCAGUGAAAGGGAUGUUCAAAUCAAAUCAAAUCAAUUUUAUUUAUAUAGCCCAAAAUCACAAUCACAUUGCCUCAGUGGGCUUAACAAUCUGUACAGUGAACAACAUCCUCUGUCCUUAGACCCUUGAUUCGAGUGAGGAAAAACUUCACAUGUUGAAGGAAAAACCUUUUAACAGGGUAAAAAAAACAAUGGAAGAAACCUCAGGAAGAGCCACAGAGGAGGGAUCCUACUUCUAGGACGGACAGACAUGCAAUAGAUGUUGUGUGUACAGAAAAGAGCAACAAUUCACAGUUUACAAGUUACAUUAACAGAAAGUCUGAUACAA